Hippocampus zosterae (dwarf seahorse) is the source of this 3370-nucleotide long non-coding RNA. RefSeq lists it as uncharacterized. NCBI's taxonomy places the organism in Eukaryota, Metazoa, Chordata, Actinopteri, Syngnathiformes, Syngnathidae. The transcript is spliced from 3 exons. The record is from RefSeq and is a predicted model, not a curated record.
GAUGGGGUGGGCUGGUGUCGAGAUGAAAGACUCCAGUAGGUGGAGGAUGGACCUCGCUUGUUAACAUAUCAGAGCUUCAAGGGCGUCCAGUGAGAUCAAAGCGGCCAAAAAAGCAUGAACGUAAUCCAUCAAAGUCCCCGAUGAGGCUUUCACUGUCCCCUUAAUGGCCUUUCAUGAUGAGCCACAAAGAGAGCCUCAUAAUGGGCCUCAGACAAAGUCGAAUGUGGCUUUUUUGUUUGUCAUCAAACCCGAGCAGCCCCCUUCUCCCACCCACCGCCGCCUUUCGUGUAUUCAUCAAAUCAGUUUCUCAGGGACCCUUGCUGGGAAGACCCUGCUAAUCCAAACAGAAAUUGAACAGGACUACCACGCGUUUCAACGCCGAUGUGAAUGUCUUGAGUAACCCUUUCAACCUAAGCGCAGGGUUUAGCCGCCCCCUCGAUCCCGCCAAAAUAAAAAGAAAUAACAUGUCCACUAGGACAAGACGGACCGCGCAGAUAAAGAGUAGCCCGACAACGCUGCGCUUUGUCUUCUGAUGGCUUCGGCACCAGGGACAUUCCACACCUGUGAAACCGAAUGAAAUCCGAUUGCGGCAUUUUCCUUCUUCCAACGCAAUUGCAACUGGAAUACGAUUGGCCGUGCGCCGUUGAAACCCUGGAGGCUAAUAUUGCACGAAAGGCGAGAACCUUCACGUAUAUGAACAUGGAGAUGCGCUGACAACGACUUUGCGCGCAAGUAUUUCUUUCUGUGCCAAGUAAGCAGAAUGGACGGUAAAAAUACGUGUUGUAAUCUGGUGCCGCUUGCUGUUUUGCCAUUUUGCUGCCCAGAGAUUCCAAAUUUGAUGGCUGCCACCAAAGUGUAACUGCAAAAUUCUCUACAUCUGCGAGACGAGAACAAAUGAAAGUCAAUUGCUCCCACUAACAGGCAGAUGCACUCGAGCGGCAUGUCGAGGUCCCUGACCCGAUCAUCCGCCUCGCCGGUUCCGGAAGAAUCCUUUUCCGCCCCCCGCGGCGAGCAAAGCCGGCGCAGCGGCGCACCAUCCGCAGCCCGCGACUAACAGCCGAGCGCCACAAGCAGUUAGCGGUGACGGCGGCCCGGAGAAGCUGCCAGAUGCAACAGAAUGAUGUCAAAUGACUACUUUUCUAUCAGACGGAGCCAAUUUGAAAAUGCGCUCCUCCCCUCACUUCACCAUACUUCCAAGGCACGAGAGGGCACAAAACGAUGACUUUUCUGUUACGCAAGACUUUUGUGGGAAAGCAUGCUCAAAAAACAGUGAAUCCACUGUCAAGUGGACUUGUGGUGUGAUGUUUGAGGAAUUUGGUCUGCCUCACGGUGCGCAAGGCCCCGGCCUUCCCCUGUGGAGUUUGCGCGUUUGCCCCGUGCCUGCCUGUGGCUUUUCUCCGGGUACUCCGCUGUCGUCCCGCGUUCCAAAAACACGCACGCUCGGUUAAUCGAUCACCCUGGAUUGUCCCUAGGUGCGAGUGUGAACGGUCGUUGGUCUGCGUGCGCUCGAAUGGCCGGCAACCAUUUGAAGGUCUAGCCCGCCGGCUGCCCAAAGUCGGCCGGGAUAGGCUCCGGAAUGCCCCGCGACCCUUUUGCGGGUACAAAGCGGCUCAGAUAAUGGAUGGAUGAACUCUCGGCCCGUUUAGCCGACGAACAAGUUGAAUAUUCUCUCGUGUAGAUAGGGCGGGCUCACUGCGCCGUCUGCCAUUAUAGAAGAGCGUCGAAAUGUUUCGUCUUGUCGUCGCAAAUGGAUCGAGGAACAGCAUUACAUUCAAAGGCGGUGAAUCGGCAGCGUGCGUAAAAGUGGCAGCUCGUCAUCCGAACGAGCGGGUCGGCCCACGCCGCAACUGGCACUUUGGCGCACGGCGAGUCUCGCGGGAUCCCCGACGCCGUCGGCUGUUACCAAGCCGACCGAUUAGUGACAGACAAAUUGGCCGUGGGUUCGGGGAAAAGGUGAAUGUUAAAAUAAGGCGGCGUGCGGAUUUCCACCUUUCGCUCCCACUCACUUCCCGAGGGACUCUCAGCCGGUGAGUCACGCGAAUAAAUAGCGUGAGGCGUUACGCUGACUCACAACGGAGGAACAAGGCAUGAAAAAUACCUUCCACUGCCAUGAAAGGAGGAGCGGCGCCUCCUUCCCUUUUUUCUUUGGUGUUUAUUUACCUUGCCAAUGACACCCCGAACCUCUUUGGACAGAACGUCGAUGCGUGUGGUCUCUCGGGCCACGUUUGGCCCAACGCGUGCAACUUUCCCCCAGCGCCAGAGCUCCCCUUUGGCCUUCCCUCUACCUCUAACUAAACAUUGCAGGAUGGCAAAAGGGAACUUCAAAGUGCCCAGAGGGGGUACUUCUUUUCCUCCCCCCUUGUUCCUGGCACUUGUCAUCAUCUAAGAGACUGGCUGCUCCCCUUAUUACUCUAAUUGCUUCCAACUGCCGCGGGAGGCUUUGAUGCGGGACGCCCGCCAAGCAUGCUGGGAGCACCUGUUGUUGCGCAGGGGGAGCACAGGUGGCGGGGCGCCGCAUCUUGUUUUUUUCCCGCAACAUGCACACGGCUAGAAAGAAAAACAAGGCAGUGUGGAGGCUUUUUAAUGGCACUUUUGGAAGCAGAGUCGGUCCUGACACAAGUGUGGGUUGGGAUGGGAGGGGGGGAGGUCGUAAAACACUCUGGUACCAUCUUGUGGCAGCUAGAAGUCCAGCAGCUGAAAAAGGAAGGACAAAGGGAAGGUGUUAAAAUGGCAGAGCCUGAAGCUGGUGAAUAUUUUCCUGUAUUUCAAUCGAUUCAUUGAGUCAUCAUUUUUUAUGUGUGUGUGUGUGUGUGUGUGUGUGUGUGUGUGUGUGUGUAUGUAUAUAUAUAUAUAUAUAUAUAUAUAAAAUAACAUAGCAAAUUAUGCACGUCAAGUCCCAAUAUUGGUUUUGUAUACUUUAGGUUGCAAUAUUACAGCUUUAAUCUUGUAAAAAAAACAUAUAUAUAUAUAUAUAUUUCUUUUUUAAUACUGUACAGCUGGAUUAGAUUUUAUGCGUGUGUAUGUGUACCAAGAUGCUAUGACCAGUGAGUGUAGAAUGUGUAUUGCUCCACACCAGCUGAGGCAGGAUCUUUUCAAAGUGCUCGAUGUCCACUUGAUCGCAAUCCUCGCAUUCAGCUUGUUUCUGAGAGCGCACGGUCGCCUCUGACAACCGCAAGAACAUGAAUAUAUCAUCAUCAUUGUUGGGUCUUAGGUAGAAUAAUAUCUGUGUAAUGGCAACCUUUACCUUGGACAAAUAUUUUCAGCAUCUCUGCCACGAGUAAUGUAGCCUCUACGCUUACUGCCACACAAGAGAUUAAAGAAAAAAAGUUGAGUUGAGCAAUCACAAGCACUUUUCAUCAAAGAGAGAAAA